GGCUGGGUAGCUCAGUUGGUAGAGCACUGGUAGUGUUCCAAAGGCCGCAGGUUCAAAUCCUGCUCCAGUCA
This 71-nucleotide transfer RNA is filed under the name Acanthaster planci (crown-of-thorns starfish). RNAcentral's name for it is "tRNA-His". It matches the Rfam family "tRNA". Rfam says of the family: Transfer RNA (tRNA) molecules are approximately 80 nucleotides in length. Their secondary structure includes four short double-helical elements and three loops (D, anti-codon, and T loops). Further hydrogen bonds mediate the characteristic L-shaped molecular structure. tRNAs have two regions of fundamental functional importance: the anti-codon, which is responsible for specific mRNA codon recognition, and the 3' end, to which the tRNAs corresponding amino acid is attached (by aminoacyl-tRNA synthetases). tRNAs cope with the degeneracy of the genetic code in two manners: having more than one tRNA (with a specific anti-codon) for a particular amino acid; and 'wobble' base-pairing, i.e. permitting non-standard base-pairing at the 3rd anti-codon position. Lineage: Eukaryota; Metazoa; Echinodermata; Asteroidea; Valvatida; Acanthasteridae. The record is from Rfam by way of RNAcentral.